Long non-coding RNA from Perognathus longimembris pacificus (Pacific pocket mouse), 1310 nucleotides. RefSeq lists it as uncharacterized. The record is from RefSeq and is a predicted model, not a curated record. The transcript has 2 exons. NCBI's taxonomy places the organism in Eukaryota, Metazoa, Chordata, Mammalia, Rodentia, Heteromyidae.
GCUUCGAGACCUGGGCAGUCACUUUCCUCUCCAGACAUCAUCAUUACUGUGGUGUCUGUUCAGUCAGUUCCAGCUGGUGAGAUAGGUAGAACAUGUCUCAGAUGAGGAGAUACAACGUGUCUCAGGUGAGGAGACAGAACAUGCCACAGGUGAGGAGAGAGAACAUAUCACAAGUGAGAAGAUAGAACACUUCUCCUGUACUUCCUGUUAGGUACAUAUUAUCUUUAGGAGUUUAUUGAAGGAAUGGCUAUUGCAAUAUAAAUUCAUUGAGAAGCAUUAUUAAGUUAAUGCAUUUUUUUGUUUCUUUGAUCUAUGAUUGAGUACUAAAAUUCAGUAGGGUACCACAUGGGCUCUGCCUACAUGGGCUAGGUACGGGUUUCCAUGAAGUCUCAAAUCCCUCCCAGGUACAGUAGUACUGGACUAUAGAUGAGUCUAGUGCCUUCAUUACCCACACUCUGCCUUUCUGAAUCUUUCUUUGUCGUAUGUGUCCUUCUCUGUGAGUACUUGGGUUCAUGACUAAAGGAGUGUAACAAAGAAAUAGGUUGCCAUUGAAAAACCCACUCUUCUACUUGUUGUGUUUGACCGUCAUAUCCCUAAGCAUAACUGGUUAGACAUGACACUCUCUUUCCCUCUUCUGUUCUAUCUGUCCUGUGAAACACUGGACCCCUCCCUUUUCUCUGAGGCCAGGAGCGGCUGUGGCCUCAUUUUCCUCCUUAGUGCACUGCUGGUAUAGUCCCCUUACCACCUGUCUUGUCACUUGGCCUGCUUAGUUCCUGAGGCUCCUGUCACCACUCUUCUCUGGAUGGAAACCCCACAUAUCGCCAGUGGAAAGACAACUCUUGUCUGGAAUUAGCAGUGGGCCUCAGCCACUGCUGGCAUUUUUAGUGUAGCCCCUCAGUGCUUGUCUUCUUGCUUUCUCUGUGCUCUUGGCAGUAGGAAGUUCCAAGCUAUCCCACUCUGAUCAAGGCUGAUGAGUGUGUGAGAAAGAUCCUAGGGGCUUCACACCAUGGUCUCGUCACUCUUACUACAGCGUGACAGCACAUUUUCUCCCUGGGAUCCAGCCAUCCAACACCAGGUGUGUCCAGAUGCUGUGCCAAGCCACAGACAAGUGGGGAUUUGCCCCUGAGAGAUCUCCCAUCCUUGAGGUAAUGCUGACUAUGGUAAUGGUGACAGUGGUGCUGCAUGGUACUGGCUGAGAAGGGCACAGGUUCUGUAUUUAAUAACUGCAUCUUGCUCUGCUGUGGGAUGAGGAGAAAGGAGGCUCCUUGGAAGACGAGAUCUAAGGCCUAAUUUAAACAGUAAGAUAAUGU